GCCUCGGUGGCGGAAUAGGCAAACGCGCAGGGUUGAGGGUCCUGUGCCCAAACGGGCUUGGAGGUUCAAACCCUCCCCGAGGCGCCA
This 87-nucleotide transfer RNA is filed under the name Candidatus Woykebacteria bacterium RBG_16_39_9b. RNAcentral's name for it is "tRNA-Leu". It matches the Rfam family "tRNA". From Rfam's summary of the family: Transfer RNA (tRNA) molecules are approximately 80 nucleotides in length. Lineage: Bacteria; Candidatus Woykeibacteriota. The record is from RNAcentral.